GAUGAAGAACGUAGCGAAAUGCGAUAAGUAAUGUGAAUUGCAGAAUUCAGUGAAUCAUCGAAUCUUUGAACGCACAUUGCGCCCGCUAGUAUUCUGGCGGGCAUGCCUGUCCGAGCGUCAUUUCAACCCUCAAGCCCCCGGGCUUGGUGUUGGGGAUCGGCGAGCCUCCGCGCCCGCCGUCCCCUAAAUCUAGUGGCGGUCUCGCUGUAGCUUCCUCUGCGUAGUAGCACACCUCGCACUGGGAAACAGCGCGGCCACGCCGUUAAACCCCCAACUUCUGAACGUUUGACUUCGGAUCAGGUAGGAAUACCCGCUGAACUUAAGCAUAUCAAUAAGCGGAGGA
RNAcentral lists this unclassified non-coding RNA (343 nucleotides) under soil metagenome. Its description in RNAcentral is "partial contains 5.8S ribosomal RNA, internal transcribed spacer 2, and large subunit ribosomal RNA". The stretch from base 1 to 120 matches the Rfam family "5.8S ribosomal RNA", at positions 35 to 154 of the family's 154-position model. The record is from RNAcentral.